GACUUCGUGAUGUAAUGGUCAGCACACUGAGCCGGUAUUUCAGAGGUCCGUGGUUCGAUCCCCGGCGAACGCA
Stegodyphus mimosarum is the source of this 73-nucleotide non-coding RNA. Lineage: Eukaryota; Metazoa; Arthropoda; Arachnida; Araneae; Eresidae. The record is from Rfam.